GCAAAAGAGGUCAGGAAAAGAGGCUCUGGAGGUUAAUAGGAAGCAUCUCGUGCUUUCACAGCUCCCUGGGUUCUGAAAUGUAAUAAAAAGAGUGCUUUGAAGGAAAAGUUUUCAAAUUUUCUGAAAAAACUCAAACAGAUGUUUGUCAGGUUUAAAAUAUUUUGAGUUUGGACUUACUGUAGAAUUGCUAACAAAGGAAUUUUCUCCAUGCUGAAAGCUAUUUUAAUGAAAAAGGUGGAAUUUUAAAUAUAUACAUUUACCAUAGAACAUUUUUCAGCUGGAAUUUAUAGGACAGGUAAACUUAUUUUGAAUAAUAUUUUCUAGAGUCUUAAAUCAAGUAUUUUUGUUCUUUAGCCUAAAAUCUGUCAAGAGGAAAAAUAAUUUUAAAUUAUUAAUACAGAUGAAGCAUAUCAGUAGCAAAUAUUUCACAGCAGCCUGAAGACCCAAAGGCAGAAGUCUGUCCUUUUACCUGUCAUGUAAAGGAAUGAGAUAUGGAAUGAAGAGUCCCUCUUUCUAUAACUGCCAUAGCAGGAAAGGAUUCUGUAGGAAUUUUAUGUCAUGCCCAAAUUCUCAGAGGCUAUUUUUCUGAUUUUUAGCUUGCCAACUGUCUUAUUCUCUUGAACAAAAGGUGCUCUUGGGCUCUGGGGCCGGAUUUAGUUUUUUAUUUAUUCACCUGCUUGCAAACCUUUGAGGAAGAUGUCCAUGUCCUGUAUUGGCAGAGCUCGGUGUGUAUAUCAGAUGUCACUGGAAGGAGCAAAGAAAAGGAAAAUGAAGGGAAGCUCCACACUGCAGAGUAGUUUAUUUAACAGAUUGCCGGUAGCUUUUCAGGUCUGCCACACAACAAUGUAA
This 849-nucleotide long non-coding RNA is filed under the name Cyanistes caeruleus (blue tit). RNAcentral describes it as "lncRNA (ENSCCEG00000004022.1)". Lineage: Eukaryota; Metazoa; Chordata; Aves; Passeriformes; Paridae. The record is from RNAcentral.